Molecule: ribosomal RNA, 203 nt
Filed under: uncultured Ascomycota
Lineage: Eukaryota; Fungi; Ascomycota
Description: partial 18S ribosomal RNA
Rfam family: 5.8S ribosomal RNA (bases 156-203)
Source: RNAcentral
UAUGAGUAUCUCAGUGAUGAGGCGAAGCCCGACCUCCACCCUUUGUGAACCAACCCUGUUGCUUCGGGGGCGACCCCGCCGUUUCGGCGACGGCGCCCCCGGAGGUCAUCAAACACUGCAUCUUUGCGUCGGAGUCUUAAAGUAAAUUUAAACAAAACUUUCAACAACGGAUCUCUUGGUUCUGGCAUCGAUGAAGAACGCAG